RNAcentral lists this ribosomal RNA (655 nucleotides) under fungal endophyte. RNAcentral's name for it is "eukaryotic LSU rRNA". The stretch from base 180 to 333 matches the Rfam family "5.8S ribosomal RNA". Lineage: Eukaryota; Fungi. The record is from RNAcentral.
UUAAAGAGUUCUAUAACUCCCAAACCCAUGUGAACAUACCUAACGUUGCCUCGGCAGGUCGCACCUACCUUGUAGCACCCUACCCUGUAGGGCCUACCCGGGAGGUGCGGGUAAGCCUGCCGGCGGCCCACCAAACUCUGUUUGAUAUUGAAUUCUGAAUCUAUAACUAAAUAAGUUAAAACUUUCAACAACGGAUCUCUUGGUUCUGGCAUCGAUGAAGAACGCAGCGAAAUGCGAUAAGUAAUGUGAAUUGCAGAAUUCAGUGAAUCAUCGAAUCUUUGAACGCAUAUUGCGCCCAUUAGUAUUCUAGUGGGCAGGACCGUUCGAGCGUCAUUUCAACCCUUAAGCCUUCGUUGCUUAGUGUUGGGAGCCUACGGCAACGUAGCUCCUCAAAGUUAGUGGCGGAGUUGGUUCACACUCUAGACGUAGUAAUUUUUUAUCUCGCCUAUUAGUUGGACUAAUCCCCUGCCGUAAAACCCCCAAUUUAUAUCAAGGUUGACCUCGAAUCGGUUCAGACAAACUCGCUAAAUUGAAGCAUCUUAGUCAGCGAAGGAAAAGAAACCAACAGGGAUUGCCCUAGUAACGGCGAGUGAAGCGGCAACAGCUCAAAUUUGAAAUCUGGCCCUCGGGUCCGAGUUGUAAUUUGUAGAGGAUG